AGUGAACGCUGGCGGUAGGCCUAACACAUGCAAGUCGAACGGCAGCACAGGAGAGCUUGCUCUCUGGGUGGCGAGUGGCGGACGGGUGAGGAAUACAUCGGAAUCUACUCUGUCGUGGGGGAUAACGUAGGGAAACUUACGCUAAUACCGCAUACGACCUACGGGUGAAAGCAGGGGACCUUCGGGCCUUGCGCGAUUGAAUGAGCCGAUGUCGGAUUAGCUAGUUGGCGGGGUAAAGGCCCACCAAGGCGACGAUCCGUAGCUGGUCUGAGAGGAUGAUCAGCCACACUGGAACUGGGACACGGUCCAGACUCCUACGGGAGGCAGCAGUGGGGAAUAUUGGACAAUGGGCGCAAGCCUGAUCCAGCCAUACCGCGUGGGUGAAAAAGGCCUUCGGGUUGUAAAGCCCUUUUGUUGGGAAAGAAAUCCAGCUGGCUAAUACCCGGUUGGGAUGACGGUACCCAAAGAAUAAGCACCGGCUAACUUCGUGCCAGCAGCCGCAGUAA
RNAcentral lists this ribosomal RNA (506 nucleotides) under uncultured bacterium. Its description in RNAcentral is "partial 16S ribosomal RNA". It matches the Rfam family "Bacterial small subunit ribosomal RNA", at positions 29 to 523 of the family's 1533-position model. The record is from RNAcentral.